GUGCCAGCAGCCGCGGUAAUAUAUACGGGUCAUGCGUUGUCCGGAUUUAUUGGGCGUAAAGAGCUCGUAGGCGGUUCAACAAGUCGGUCGUAAAAGUUUAGGGCUCAACCCUAAAAUGUCGAUCGAUACUGUUGUGACUAGGAUACGGUAGAGGUGAAUGGAAUUCCGAGUGUAGCGGUGAAAUGCGUAGAUAUUCGGAGGAACACCAAUUGCGAAGGCAGUUCACUGGACCGUGAUCGACGCUGAGGAGCGAAGGCUAGGGGAGCAAACAGGGUUAGAUA
Molecule: ribosomal RNA, 281 nt
Filed under: uncultured bacterium
Lineage: Bacteria
Description: partial 16S ribosomal RNA
Rfam family: Bacterial small subunit ribosomal RNA
Source: RNAcentral